Molecule: ribosomal RNA, 253 nt
Filed under: uncultured bacterium
Lineage: Bacteria
Description: partial 16S ribosomal RNA
Rfam family: Bacterial small subunit ribosomal RNA
Source: RNAcentral
UACGGGGGGGGGCAAGCGUUGUUCGGAAUUACUGGGCGUAAAGGGCGCGUAGGCGCCUUCUAAGUCGAACGUGAAAUCCCCGGGCUCAACCCGGGAACUGCGUCCGAUACUGGAAGGCUUGAAUCCGGGAGAGGGAUGCGGAAUUCCAGGUGUAGCGGUGAAAUGCGUAGAUAUCUGGAGGAACACCGGUGGCGAAGGCGGCAUCCUGGACCGGCAUUGACGCUGAGGCGCGAAAGCGUGGGGAGCAAACAGG